RNAcentral lists this ribosomal RNA (371 nucleotides) under uncultured organism. Its description in RNAcentral is "bacterial SSU rRNA". It matches the Rfam family "Bacterial small subunit ribosomal RNA", at positions 526 to 896 of the family's 1533-position model. The record is from RNAcentral.
CGGAGGGUGCAAGCGUUUACUCCGGAUUCACGUGGGUUUAAAGGGAGCGUAGGUGGGAUGGUAAGUCAGUGGUGAAAUCUCCGGGCUUAACUCGGAAACUGCCGUUGAUACUAUCAUUCUUGAAUAUUGUGGAGGUAAGCGGAAUAUGUCAUGUAGCGGUGAAAUGCUUAGAUAUGACAUAGAACACCAAUAGCGAAGGCAGCUUGCUACACAAUUAUUGACACUGAGGCUCGAAAGCGUGGGGAUCAAACAGGAUUAGAUACCCUGGUAGUCCACGCCCUAAACGAUGGAUACUCGACAUACGCGAUACACAGUGUGUGUCUGAGCGAAAGCAUUAAGUAUCCCACCUGGGAAGUACGACCGCAAGGUUG